UACGGAGGAUGCGAGCGUUAUCCGGAUUUAUUGGGUUUAAAGGGCGCGUAGGCGGGCUUUUAAGUCAGCGGUAAAAAUUCGGGGCUCAACCCCGUCCGGCCGUUGAAACUGGGGGUCUUGAGUGGGCGAGAAGAGGGCGGAAUGCGUGGUGUAGCGGUGAAAUGCAUAGAUAUCACGCAGAACCCCGAUUGCGAAGGCAGCCUUCCGGCGCCCUACUGACGCUGAGGCACGAAAGUGCGGGGAUCGAACAGG
RNAcentral lists this ribosomal RNA (252 nucleotides) under uncultured bacterium. Its description in RNAcentral is "partial 16S ribosomal RNA". It matches the Rfam family "Bacterial small subunit ribosomal RNA", at positions 524 to 776 of the family's 1533-position model. The record is from RNAcentral.